Molecule: ribosomal RNA, 253 nt
Filed under: uncultured bacterium
Lineage: Bacteria
Description: partial 16S ribosomal RNA
Rfam family: Bacterial small subunit ribosomal RNA
Source: RNAcentral
UACGUAGGGUGCAAGCGUUGUCCGGAAUUAUUGGGCGUAAAGAGCUCGUAGGCGGUUUGUCGCGUCUGCUGUGAAAACUCGGGGCUUAACUCCGGGCCUGCAGUGGGUACGGGCAGACUAGAGUGCGGUAGGGGAGACUGGAAUUCCUGGUGUAGCGGUGAAAUGCGCAGAUAUCAGGAGGAACACCGGUGGCGAAGGCGGGUCUCUGGGCCGUAACUGACGCUGAGGAGCGAGAGCGUGGGGAGCGAACAGG